RNAcentral lists this transfer RNA (60 nucleotides) under Amblyomma latum. Its description in RNAcentral is "tRNA-Val". Lineage: Eukaryota; Metazoa; Arthropoda; Arachnida; Ixodida; Ixodidae. The record is from RNAcentral.
AAAAAUGAAAUCAUAUUGAUAUUUCAUUUACAAUGAAAAUUUUGUAAUUUACCAUUUUUU